Long non-coding RNA from Poecile atricapillus (Black-capped chickadee), 2873 nucleotides. RefSeq lists it as uncharacterized. The transcript has 5 exons. The record is from RefSeq and is a predicted model, not a curated record. Lineage: Eukaryota; Metazoa; Chordata; Aves; Passeriformes; Paridae.
CAUUUUACCCUUGUGGGCUCCAGAGGGAUUCAGGGUCUGUUGCUGGGGCCCGUGGGUUUGGUGCAAUAUUUUGGUUUUGAGUCUGCAAAGCUGGUGUCAGUCUUUCACUUCUGCCUUGCAAAAGACUAAUGCAGGGAAGCUGGCCAGACUGACAAAGGUAGCGAAGUAACCUUUUUCUAUGGAGGAAAACACCCAUUAUCUUACUGAGCUUGGAUUACCAGUGUUUUUUCUCACUUUCUGCUUUAUGUUUCUUUUUUUUUUUUUCCCCCCUUGUGUGCUUGCAGUAAUGUCCGUAGCCAGACAUAUGCUCAUGGCCUGGAAUGAAGUCGACUGCAAUUACAUCCUAAGGGAGUCACUCAACGGGGGUUUUGUGGAGGUAGGACGCAGGCUCUGGUGGAGCUGCACAUGUGCUGCUAGACCUCCAACUGCACUCGCUCUGCCUGCAGCUUUGUGGGAGUGAGGAGCAGCAGGCUCAGAAAUACAGCCAGUCUGGUGCACAUCUGGAGACAGUAAUUGGAGUGCCUGUCUCUGUGCUAGAUGAGAGCCUGUGGGGAGUUCAGGGAGUGCAGGUCUGGGCCGUGUAUCACUCUGUCCCCAGGACCAAGCUGGGAGAGUGGGUAAAGAGACAUGAGCUUUCAAUACCUGCAAAUUUCCAUCUGGUUUGUUAGCAGUACUCCUCAUGAAGGGGAUUAUGAAAAGCUGGAGAUGCUACAGUGUUUCAGACUCAUUUGACUGUGGUGGCUGAGCUGAACCACUUCUGACGUGCCCUCCUGAAAGUGAACGGAGGACAAGGCUGUGCGGUGGGGCUGGUGACAACUCGGUUUCAACCUCUGCUGCAGCAGCCUGGCUGAGGUAUGCGAUGUAGAGGAGCUUGUGGAGGGGCUCACCACCCCCCUCCAGCUAUUCAGUACCACUCUGUGGGCACAAGGGUGUUACAAACUGAGCGGUGAAACCAGGCUUGCAGCUCUGGUGUGUGGUCAUUAUGGUGACAAAAAGCAUUCGGGCUGUUCUGGUGAAUCAGGCUGUGAGGGUAGGAAGGCUUGCCAGCAGCUCGGCUCUUCUGCUUCCUUCCACUGCUGCAGAUAACACCGUGCAGCCUCCCGGGGAGGGAGGUGCAUUUAUGCCCUUACCAAAGGUGUUUUCUGUUGAUAUGGUGUGUUCCUGCACAUGGGGGGGAAGGCAGAUAUGGCCAGACAUCCUCUCCCAGAUCCUGUUGCAUGGGUGAGAGCGGCUGCUGGCACUGGGGUUGCUCCUUUGUGCUCCUCUGGCUGGAGGCAAGCGCCCAUUUGGGGAUGCUUCCCAGAAAAUACAAUUGUACAGUGAACAGGUGCUUUCUGUCCAUGGCUUUGCACCUCCUGCUUCAGAGAGAGGCUGGAAGGAGAGCCAGGAAAUGGUGCUGAAAAAGUAUGGCAAAAAUGGUCAAGACCAGGUCUUUGCUCCUGGUUGUUAUUGGUUCCAUAUUUACUUGGGAUCUUUGCAUGCAGAGGAUGGCUUUUGGCUCACGAAGAGGAACUCUCGGAGGCUGGACUGUUUCCCCUCACACUCCUCUGUCUCUCCAAGACCGUGUGUAAUGCUCAGGAAGGCUUCUAGGGGCAAGGUGCUUUUCUGUAUCUAACAGAAAACCCUGCAAGCUCAUUAAUAAAGGCAAGAUAAAAUAAAGCUUGGAGAGUCAACAUGUUCAAGAAGAUAUGCCAUUCUGGGAAACAAGAGGAGAGGAGGUGUGUAUUUACGUGAACAAAAGAAGUCCAAACUGUAAGCCAUAAUAUAUCUGUUAGCUCAUUAAUGUGUCUGAUGCUGACUAAUUCCAGGGGUGUUCCUGCUGCCCAGCAGCAAAAGUGCAAAUAAGUGGACAGCUGUGAUUUAGUGCCAAAUACUUGAACACAUCGUGACAAUUCAGGCCACCCACUCUCUUAAGUAAAUACGACUUCUGUAGAAUCAUUUCAAACUGGGCUCAAGUGCAGAGCAGCCACUUUCAUGUGCAUCUCAGCCAAAUGGCCCUUAAGUAUUUGGGGCCAAACUGUGUCUUCUCUUACACCCUGUGAGCCCCCAUUCACUCCAGAGUUUGCACUGUGUAGCUGAGGGGCAGAGCUGACUCUUGAUGCUAAUCUGACUUUUUCUAGCUCAGUAAGUACAAUUUCACAUGUAAAUGUGAAUGUGGAACAGAUCUGGACUAGAUUAUCUCCUGAAUCCUUGACAAAAAGCCAUAAUUGUUUAUCCAGAUGAUGUUUCUUUCUCUCUCUUUUACUUUCUCCGCACUUUAAACCCGAGGUUUUAAUGGGCUUGUGAAAUAAAUACAUGAGUGUAGAUUACAGUGGUAUCAAAGGUGGGAGGAAAGCCCUUCUCUUCUCCUCAGCACAGCUAAAUGAUCACUUGCUGCACACUCCAGUUGUGCUCUCCAGAGCCUUGGGCAGGGGUGGCUGCGGAUCUGACGGUGGGAGGGAGGGUAUUUCCAAGACAACACUUAGCCCGGGGCUCCCAUUACAGAUGUGAAGGACUUGUGAUAUAUAUCUUUUUUUUUUCCUGGUAGGCAGUGAAAUUUGUGCUAGUGGCUAUAUCUGGGGCACAGGGUUGUUGGGGGAGGAGAAAAGCAAGGGAAUAUGGAAAAAAAAUUGUAUUUAUCAGGGAAAUCUAGUUUAAGAGCACAAGUACUAAAACAUUUUAAUCACAGUCAUACGGCUGUGUGUCACUGCAGGGCAGAAUUAAGGCUAUUUGUAUGCCUUGGUAGCACACUGCCACACUUCAACAAGUUUGAAUUUAUUUUAAGCAUAACUUUAACUCUGAAUUCCCUGGGUUUGUAAUGUCUGGUCUGGAAAUAAAUGCAACCUCUUUAUAUUGUACUUUACUCUUAAAAUAGGCUUUCCACUUUAGCUCCG